This 253-nucleotide ribosomal RNA is filed under the name uncultured Neochlamydia sp. RNAcentral describes it as "partial 16S ribosomal RNA". It matches the Rfam family "Bacterial small subunit ribosomal RNA", at positions 524 to 776 of the family's 1533-position model. Lineage: Bacteria; Pseudomonadati; Chlamydiota; Chlamydiia; Parachlamydiales; Parachlamydiaceae. The record is from RNAcentral.
UACGUAGGGUGCAAGCAUUAAUCGGAAUUAUUGGGCGUAAAGGGCGCGUAGGCGGAUAAACAAGUCGGAUGUGAAAUUCCAAAGCUCAACUUUGGAGCGGCGUCCGAAACUAUUUGUCUAGAGGUAUGGAGGAGAAAGCGGAAUUCCACAAGUAGCGGUGAAAUGCGUAGAUAUGUGGAAGAACACCUGUGGCGAAAGCGGCUUUCUAUCCUACACCUGACGCUGAGGCGCGAGAGCGUGGGGAGCAAACAGG